CUUUUCUGACAGGGUUAGCAAUUUAGCACUGAGGUGCCGAGUUACCUCAGACGUUUUUAUUACAAUUUUACACGACGAUUUCGGUUUAUUUGGUAUUAUAGACGAUACCGAUGGCUACUUAAAAUCAAUAGGGAACAGCACCAGCAGGUUGGAGAUUUUGCGGUACUCUGCAAAGGACAUUCGGAGAGCCUGUUUGCCUGUAGCCGUCUUCUCAGGCUGCUCUGCCUCUUCAGUGUCCAUGGCCUCCACUGCAUCACUAGCAGAACCAUCCUUGCCUUCCAUCUCAGCCAACAGCCCGUUCUGAUCUACACAGACACGACCAGAGGUGGCGAAGUCCAGAAACCCAUCGGAUGUUGCUGCGGCUAGAAUACUGGAAUGUUACAUGUGAUUGUGAAAUGAGUAAAUGAACAUGUUUCAGUUAAGGACAGUCUCCAGACUGAAGGGUUGUGUGUCUGUCUGCCAUUUCCAUAAAACAAGUAUUCGCGUA
Molecule: long non-coding RNA, 487 nt
Organism: Tachysurus fulvidraco (yellow catfish)
Lineage: Eukaryota; Metazoa; Chordata; Actinopteri; Siluriformes; Bagridae
Exons: 3
Source: RefSeq, a predicted model, not a curated record